Molecule: ribosomal RNA, 290 nt
Filed under: uncultured bacterium
Lineage: Bacteria
Description: partial 16S ribosomal RNA
Rfam family: Bacterial small subunit ribosomal RNA
Source: RNAcentral
GGAUUAGAUACCCUGGUAGUCUAUGCUGUAAACGAUGUGCACUUGGUGUUGGGCCGAUUAGGCUCAGUGCCGUAGCUAACGCGAUAAGUGCACCGCCUGGGGAGUAUGCCCGCAAGGGUGAAACUCAAAGGAAUUGACGGGGGCCCGCACAAGCGGUGGAUUAUGUGGUUUAAUUCGAUGAUACGCGAGAAACCUUACCAGGGUUUGACAUGCACAGGAAUAAGCCAGAGAUGGUUUAGCCCGCAAGGGUCUGUGCACAGGUGCUGCAUGGCUGUCGUCAGCUCGUGCCG